CCGGCGACCGGCGCACGGGUGAGUAACACGUAUGCAACCUGCCCGUCUCAGGGGGAUAAUCGUCGGAAACGGCGUCUAAUACCCCGUAUGAAGCUGGACGGCAUCGUCUGGUUUUGAAAGAAUAUCGGAGACGGAUGGGCAUGCGGCGCAUUAGCUAGUUGGCGGGGUAACGGCCCACCAAGGCGACGAUGCGUAGGGGUUCUGAGAGGAAGGUCCCCCACACUGGUACUGAGACACGGACCAGACUCCUACGGGAGGCAGCAG
RNAcentral lists this ribosomal RNA (264 nucleotides) under uncultured bacterium. Its description in RNAcentral is "partial 16S ribosomal RNA". It matches the Rfam family "Bacterial small subunit ribosomal RNA", at positions 88 to 354 of the family's 1533-position model. The record is from RNAcentral.